Molecule: long non-coding RNA, 839 nt
Organism: Sebastes umbrosus (honeycomb rockfish)
Lineage: Eukaryota; Metazoa; Chordata; Actinopteri; Perciformes; Sebastidae
Exons: 4
Source: RefSeq, a predicted model, not a curated record
GAGAGAGAGCGUUCCCAUUAGCUAUACUUGGUAUUUCCUCAACUGGUCUCAACAUGGCUGCCGGGUCACAUACAUAAGUGUUAUUGUGGCAUAAUCAGUCAUGUGUAGGUUAUAAAACAGAACCAUUUCUUGGGUGUAAUGCAGGUGAAGAGAGUUUGUCAUGUUCAUAUGUGUUUAUAAGAAGAAAGAGUUCAAUGUGGUUAUAAUUUAGGGUACAGUGUUAUUUAUUGCCAGCGUCAUUAUUAGGGUGUUGUGCCAGUAGAUCGCCAGUAGGUGUCAGUGUCGCUACAGAAGCCGUGUAUGUGAAGGGAGCGUCACAGGGAAGUCUCGCGUGAAUACGUGAGAUAAUAAGAAUCUCUGUGUACAAGAUAGAAGCUGAAUACACUGUGUAGCAAUGUCAACCUAAAGCAUUAUUUUACAUUUUGCAGCCACUAAACCUAGAGAUGGAAGGAGACAAGGCAAUAUGGGAAACAUUGCACUGGUCUGCAAAAGAUUUAAAGACAUUGUCUCAACUGAAGAAUUCCGGCAGAAGGCACAUUAUCGAUGGCUGAACAGUAGGUGUUGUGGAUCUUAACAAAGUCUCAAACAAAUAUCAAGAAGACUUGAAGAAAAUGUACACCGUUAGUCCAUGUACAGCCUGUCGGACACUAUACAAAUCAUUUCCUGGAGGUUUUAAAGCCUUUUAUCUGCUGCAUAACUGAUGCAUCAGACAAGGGAAGAGAGGACAGCUGCAAGGGAUUUAUAGCACUCCACCUCAUCCGGGUUUCUGCAGCCAAACCUGUGCUCUGACAGCGGACACAAAUGACAUAAAUAAAAACAGGCUAUAGAUGAAACAUAAA